RNAcentral lists this ribosomal RNA (460 nucleotides) under uncultured bacterium. RNAcentral describes it as "partial 16S ribosomal RNA". It matches the Rfam family "Bacterial small subunit ribosomal RNA", at positions 338 to 795 of the family's 1533-position model. The record is from RNAcentral.
CCUACGGGUGGCAGCAGUGAGGAAUAUUGGUCAAUGGACGCAAGCCUGAACCAGCCAUGCCGCGUGAAGGAAGACGGCUCUAUGAGUUGUAAACUGCUUUUGUACGGGGGUAAACGCAGAUACGCGUAUCUGUUUGAAAGUAUCUUACGAAUAAGGAUCGGCUAACUCCGUGCCAGCAGCCGCGGUAAUACGGAGGAUUCAAGCGUUAUCCGGAUUUAUUGGGUUUAAAGGGUGCGUAGGCGGUCGGAUAAGUCAGAGGUGAAAUCCCGAGGCUCAACUUCGGAAUUGCAUCUGAUACUGUUCGUCUAGAGUAUAGUUGCGGUAGGCGGAAUGUAUGGUGUAGCGGUGAAAUGCUUAGAUAUCAUGCAGAACACCGAUUGCGAAGGCAGCUUACCAAGCUACCACUGACGUUGAGGCGCGAAAGCGUGGGGAGCAAACAGGAUUAGAUACCCGAGUAGUC